Long non-coding RNA from Dioscorea cayenensis subsp. rotundata (Guinea yam), 342 nucleotides. RefSeq lists it as uncharacterized. The record is from RefSeq and is a predicted model, not a curated record. The transcript has 3 exons. Lineage: Eukaryota; Viridiplantae; Streptophyta; Magnoliopsida; Dioscoreales; Dioscoreaceae.
UAUGUAUGUUAAAAGGGAAUGGAGUUUACUUGGCUUGUUAGUUGGUCUGCCAUGAAGAAAUCCACCAUCAAGACCUGAAUUUAACACAAGAGAAUGUUUUGUACCCUGUAAAGUGGAGAGCAUGCAAUGUUGCGCAUGACACGCAAGAAGCAGUACCGAGUUGAUCGGUAACAAAUGUUAAAUGGGCAGAAGAGCAUUGCAAUGAACAUCUGAAAUCAAAGAUAAAAUUGAAUGGCGUCGAUGUGACGUGGAAAGAUGCCGGCUGAUCUCAGCAAUAGGUGGAUAACCAUGGCAGCCACCACCAUGGUCAUGAAGGAAGUGCAGAUAAGGAAAGGCAUCCCU